GGUCACACGGGAUGACUCUAUAUCCCACCCUCCUCCACCCCCCUGGGAGAGUCUGGAGUGCUGCGUCAUGUCUGAAACCAUGGGAAAAAAAUUUAAAUCAUUCGUAUUCUGCGACAGCAAGAAUUCUUUAGCUGUGAGAGGAGAUGGGGUGUCAAACAAACGGAAUAUUCCUGGCUAUUUGUAUGUGCGGAAGAAUGAAGCGUUUGCAUCAGAAGGGCUGAGAGGGUCACACCUGUGGCAAUACCAGAUCCAAGACGUGUCUGCGACUUGCACUGCAGCUUGUGCCAAUGCUGUGAUCCUUAACCCAUUGAGCAAGGCCAGGGAUCGAACCUGCAUCCUCAUGGAUACUACUCAGCUGAACUUCUUUUGCUGUCCAUCAGCCUGAGGCGUGUUCCCAUGAGAAGCACCCUGACCUCGUGGGGAGGUGGGUUUCCCAACUCUUGGGUCCUUAGUUAGGGUCCCUUCCAAAGGACUGUGGUUGCCGCCAGCCUGGGUUUCAUCCUCCUUAAAGCAGAUGGGACAGGAGUUCCCGCUGUGGGGCAAUGGCACAGGCAGCAUCCUUGCUGCUUCAGGGCACAGGUUCAGUGCCCAGCCUGGGAAGCGGAUUAAAGAUCCAGCAUUGCCACAGCGGUGGUGUAGGUCACAAGUGUGGCUCAGAUCCGAUCCCUGGCCCGGGAACUCUAUAUGCUGCUGGAAGGCCAAAAAAGAAAGAAGAAGAAAAAAAAAA
This 727-nucleotide long non-coding RNA is filed under the name Sus scrofa (pig). RNAcentral's name for it is "lncRNA (ENSSSCG00060011793.1)". Lineage: Eukaryota; Metazoa; Chordata; Mammalia; Artiodactyla; Suidae. The record is from RNAcentral.